Camelus dromedarius (Arabian camel) is the source of this 525-nucleotide long non-coding RNA. RefSeq lists it as uncharacterized. The transcript has 2 exons. NCBI's taxonomy places the organism in Eukaryota, Metazoa, Chordata, Mammalia, Artiodactyla, Camelidae. The record is from RefSeq and is a predicted model, not a curated record.
GUGUGUGUUUUCUCUUGUUGUGAUGCAUUACAUUGAUUGAUUCUUGUAUGGUGCAGCAUUCUUGUGUUCCUGGGAUGAAUCCAAAUUAAUCAUGGUGUAUGAUCUCUUUUAUGUGCUGUUGGACUCUGCUAAUAUUUUGGUGAGGAGUUUUGCAUCUAUGAUCACCAGUGGUAUUAGUAUGUAAUGUUGUUUUUUGGUAGUAACUUUGUUUUUGGUAUCAGGCUAACGGUGGCUUCAUAGAAUGAGUUUGGGGGUACUCUCUCUUUUUCAGUCUACUGGAAGUGUUCGAGAAGGACUGUUAUGAGUUCUUUGUAUGUUUGCUCGAAUUCCUCAGUGAAGCCUUCUGGUCCUGGACUUUUGUUUCUAGAACAUUGUAAAGCUGAUAGAAAGAAAACAAGCAGGAGGGAAUACUCCCAAACUCAUUCUGUGAAGCCACCAUCAGUCUGAUACCAAAAACAAGCAAAGACACCACCAAAAAAGAGAAUUAAAGACCAACAUCACAGAAGAACAUAGAUGCAAAAAAUC